CGAACGGGUGAGUAAUGCGUGACCAACCUGCCCCAUGCUCCAGAAUAGCUCUUGGAAACGGGUGGUAAUGCUGGAUGCUCCAACUUGACGCAUGUCUUGUUGGGAAAGUGUUUAGUGGCAUGGGAUGGGGUCGCGUCCUAUCAGCUUGUAGGCGGGGUAAUGGCCCACCUAGGCUUCGACGGGUAGCCGGCCUGAGAGGGCGGACGGCCACAUUGGGAACUGAGAUACGGCCCAGACUCCUACGGGAGGCAGCAGCC
This 257-nucleotide ribosomal RNA is filed under the name uncultured Gardnerella sp. Its description in RNAcentral is "partial 16S ribosomal RNA". It matches the Rfam family "Bacterial small subunit ribosomal RNA", at positions 99 to 355 of the family's 1533-position model. Lineage: Bacteria; Bacillati; Actinomycetota; Actinomycetes; Bifidobacteriales; Bifidobacteriaceae. The record is from RNAcentral.